CUCUCUCUUCCCGCGUGUUCCCACGAGUUGGACGGCAUAUCAGAGUAUUGUGUAUAUUGGAGGUGACCAUUGUACAUUGAUCUGGUGCCUUUUAAUGGGAUUCGAAACUGUGACUGUGAGAUGUAGGAGAGUUUGACUUGAAGAUGGGUACUUCUACUUUCACUUUAAAUGUACUUGGCAAGGCAGUCGAGACGGGACAUGUGGAGACUGUAAAGGGUGUUUCGAGCCAUACCUGAUGCCCAGCCGUUUAGCCAGAAUGGAGGUCGACCUUCCUGUACAUUUUGUGUCGGAAUGAAUGGCCGAAUGACAUAGUCCUUCGAAGUUCUUGGGCCAAUUAGUGUUCUUUGGAGCCACUGUGAAGCAACGGUGGUGAAUAGAUUCCACUUUAUUGGUAUUAGUAAGUUGCUUAAAUUUGCUCAUGCUAGUUAAAUCGGCGAAACGGGUAAGUUGUGAUAUUAACUUCUCUUCAUCGUUUGGUGUCAGUACGAGAUAUUGAUGCCGAGGAAGACUUCUUAACACUUUCUGCAAUGUAGACACACGACAAAAUACCGAAACAGUUGAGCAUAGUUGGUGAUUUCCAGUGAAACAUGGUACAAUGUUUAUAGCUGCUUGCUUUAUUUUCUGGAGGAAGCGUGUUGAAAUUGAUUUCUUCCAACGAAUAAUUUCAAAGUAAAGCCGUGACCUUAUUGCUCGGGAGACAUGUCUGCAAAAUGUGUCACUGUCCAGCCCAUCAAUGAAUGAUUUUAAUUUUAAGUUUUGCAAUUUUUUUGCAAAUUUCUUAAUUUAUGAAUCAGGCAGUGGAAAUGUGAGAUAGAUGGUGAGAAUUCUCUCACCACUUUCUCAACUUUACCACAUUGGUCACUGACCUGAUUGACAAAAUAUUUUCAAUUUGAUAUGAGUUCAGAUUGACUUUGGCCGAAUAGCCUUCAGAAGAGGCAAUAGAUUUAUCAGUGGCGUAAUUUUUUGAACAGCCCUGAUGAUCACAUUUGCCCCUCCUGGUGCAUGUCUUGUUGCAAAUGUUCAAUGCUACAACAAGUUUGCGGCUUGUGCAACAUUCGGCUACAGGAGUAAUGGACAUUGUUCCAGCUUCCAUCCCAGACUGUAUCCGGUUGUUGUAGGAAGUGUCCAUUUGUAGGUCCACUUUAUUGCCUUGGCCUUUGAACUCCUGAACUCUUCUUAUGUAAUCUUGAUUUUCAGCAUCGAUUUCUUGUUUUCCUCCUUCGCUAUGUCAGCUGCUUCACUUAAAACUCUGUUUGAAGUUUUCAAUAAUGGCGGCUUCACGUUUAAACAAGCCAGGAGGAACUGAACAUCAGAUGGGCCCAUUUUCGUUUUUAGCAUUGGCAGUACCAGAGCAGAGUGCAUGAGACAUUUAUGGUUUUUGCCUUUGUCAUAAAGGCUCGCCAUAUCAGUCUCAUAUUUACAGUUUAAGCAGAUGUCCCCAAGUUGGAUGUCUGUGAGAUUUCUAAUUUCAUUUUCGGUUUUUUACAAAUUCCAAAGUCAUGAUUGUCUAAAAAAAAUUUGAAACAGAUAUUCGUUUUUUCCAGAUUGAUGAUCUGGUUUUCUUGGAAAUUCGAUGGAUCUUCAGAUGUCCUCUGGCUGGAUGGACCAGCCGGCCGCAGAAGCAUUGGGGCAGCAAUGUUUGUUUCCCCUCCAUUGAAGUUGAUUCCCUGAUGGAGGGAGUGUGAGGGGCGUACAAUUGGAUUACUACCUCCGACUUCGCUGAUGGAAAGGGAAUGAUUUGUUUUUCUAUUCUUCCAAAAGGUGUUAUUUAAAUCAAAGUUAAAAUGUUUCCUCUUCCUCCCCCUUCGUUUUGCGGUAGGAUUUAUUAACUCACUCAUCACUGUUUCCCAGUAUUUCAUCUACACAAACUAGCUCAAUUAUGACGUCACAAUAGACAGUUAUGAUGUCAUCAUUGAUUGGGAUGCUUGCUCUUGUUUUUUUUUUUUUUUUUUUUUUUUUUUUAUAGAGUUAUUGUCCUUGGCAAAUUUAUUUCCUCUCACUCCCCUCUCUUAUUUUGGCCUACAUUUACUUAUUAGGUAAAAGUAGGAUAUCAAAGUCAUUAUUAAAGAUGUGAUAUUAUAGACAAAGCAAUUUUUAGGGCAAAUUCCUUAUUGAAAUAAGUUCAGGGUUCGAAAUUAACUCAUGUCCGUAAGUCCGAGACUAGUAAAAAACGUGUCGGACUAGUGAACUCUCUAUAGCACUAGUCCGUACGGACUAGUGAAAAUCCGGAAAUCAAUCUUCAAUGUGGUAAAGAUUUUUAGGAAGAUUUGUCUGAGUCUCUUAGAUGUUUGAACUUAUGUUUGAUUACCUGCAUGGUCAAGUGUUUGCAUGACUAUGACAUCCUGAUCUUCCAAACACAUGGAGUACGUUCAAGACCGCCGUUCUUCGAACGUGCACACAUUGUCAAAUUCCUGCCGAUUCCGAACGCCGAGUACACAUCACGAGAACGUGUUCUAGGUGUAAGAAUUGCAAGUAGUGUGGUUUGAGAACAUGCACGUUUGUGCGCACAUGUUCUCGUCAUUCGCGACUCUAACACAGUAGUUCAUAACACUAUAGCUCAUGACUUGGUCAAUCGAGUGAAUUUUAUUGACUUUAUUGAUAAAAUUUCGAACUCCUGUGACUCUAAAAUCUGAGCACCAAAACAACAGGAACAUCGAUCUCGAACGCACUUAUGGACGUUUAUAAAAGGAUUAACUCGGAGGUUAAUAUUGUAUGCUUCUGAAGAUUUUGAAUGUGAAAUAAAAUAUGUUGGUCUCUUUUUCUUCUGUAGGUGUCAGAAAUUGAAUUGUUUGCAACUGUGAUGUGUUUGGUUUGAUUUAAAUGAAGAUCAUUUUAUGAUAUACUGGACGGACUAGUGAAAUGCUUUGCGGACUAGUGAACAUCAACAGUGACUAGUCCGUACGGACUAGUGCUUGAAAAAGUUAAUUUCGAACCCUGAAGUUUGAUUGACUUGAAAUAACAGAAAAGAUAGGCUCUCCAUGAUUGCUCAUGUUAACAUCCUUAGAGGCCAUUUCAGUUUGUGUUUUUAGCUCACCUGAACCGAAGGUUCAAGUGAGCUAUUCUGAUCACUUUUUGUCCGUCGUCUGUCUGUCCGUCCGUCUGUUUGUUAAACUUUUCACAUUUUUGACUUCUUCUCCAGAACCACUGGGCCAAAUUCAACCAAACAUGGCCAAAAGCAUCCUUGGGUGAAGGGCUUUCAAGUUUGUUCAAAUGAAGGGCCAUGUCCCUUUCAAAGGGGAGAUAAUCACAAAAAUGCAAAAAUAGGGUGGAGUCAUUUAAAAAUCUUCUUCUCAAGAACCACUGGACCAGUAGAGCUGAAAUUUACCUGAACGCUUCCUGACAUAUUGCAGAUUCAAGUUUGUUCAAAUCAUGGCCCCCCAGGGGUAGGAUGGGGCCACAAGAGGGGAUCAAAGUUUUACAUACAAAUAUAUAGGGAAAAACUUUAAAAAUCUUCUUCUCAAGAACCACUAGGCCAGAAAAGCUGAGAUUUACAUGAAAACUUCCUGACAUAAUGCAAAUUCAAGUUUGUUCAAAUCAUGGGGCCCCUGGGGUAGGAUGGGGCCACAACGGGGGGAUCAAAGUUUUACAUACAAAUAUAUAGGGAAAAACUUUAAAAAUCUUCUUCUCAAGAACCACUAAGCCAGAAAAGCUGAUUUUUACAUGAAAACUUUCUGACAUAGUGCAGAUUCAAGUUUGUUCAAAUCAUGGCCCCCGGGGGUAGGAUGGGGCCACAAGGGGGAUCAAAGUUUUACAUACAAAUAUAUAGUUAAAAUCUUUUUCUCAAUAACCACUGAGUCAGAAAAGCUGAUAUUUACAAGAAAACUUUCUAACAUAGUGCAGAUUCAAGUUUGUUCAAAUCAUGGCCCCCGGGGGUAGGAUGGGGCCACAAGGGGGGAUCAAAGUUUUACAUACAAAUAUAUAGGGAAAAACUUUAAAAAUCUUUUUCUCAAGAACCACUAAGCCAGAAAAGCUGAGAUUUACAUGAAAGCUUCCUGACAUAAUGCAGAUUCAAGUUUGUUCAAAUCAUGGGCUCCGGGGGUUGGAUGGGGCCACAAUAGAGGAUCAAAGUUUAACAUACUAAUAUAUAGUUAAAAUCUUUUUCUCAAUAACCACUGAGUCAGAAAAGCUGAUAUUUACAAGAAAACUUUCUGACAUAAUGCAGAUUCAAGUUUGUUCAAAUCAUGGCUCCCGGGGGUAGGAUGGGGCCACAAGGGGGAUCAAAGUUUUACAUACAAAUAUAUAGUUAAAAUCUUUUUCUCAAUAACCACCGAGUCAGAAAAGCUGAUAUUUACAAGAAAACUUUCUGACAUAAUGCAGAUUCAAGUUUGUUCAAAUGAUGGCCCCCGGGGGUUAGGAUGGGGCCACAAGUAAGGGGGGGGGGUCAAAGUUUUACAUUUACAUGAAAGCUUUCUGACAUAGUGUAGAUUCAAGUUUGCAAAGGGUGGUUUGGGUCAUAAUAGGGACUAAGGUUUUACAUGCAAAUAUAUAUGGAAAGUCUUCAGAUAUGGGCCAAGGUGACUCAGGUGAGCGAUGUGGCCCAUGGGUCUCUUGUUUCACAUCAGAUUUCUUAAAUACAAUUUGGUAAUAUUAUUG
Ostrea edulis (European flat oyster) is the source of this 4593-nucleotide long non-coding RNA. RefSeq lists it as uncharacterized. The transcript has 3 exons. The record is from RefSeq and is a predicted model, not a curated record. NCBI's taxonomy places the organism in Eukaryota, Metazoa, Mollusca, Bivalvia, Ostreida, Ostreidae.